Molecule: long non-coding RNA, 1971 nt
Filed under: Olea europaea subsp. europaea
Lineage: Eukaryota; Viridiplantae; Streptophyta; Magnoliopsida; Lamiales; Oleaceae
Source: RNAcentral
GUCCGUUUGUGAGAAGCUCACUGUUUCCUCUAUAGAGUAGAGAGAGAGAGAGAGAGAGAGAGGUGUACUGCACACAGAAAACCCAUAGAAAUUGUGAGAGAGAAGAGAGGAGAAAGGUGUACUGCAUUCUCUUCUUCUUUUACUUAAAAAAACCUCAUUUCUCUUCAGUUUCUGGAGGACGAAACCAGGUAGGUUUCUCUCUCUCUCUCUCUCUCUCUCUCUCUCUGUUCAUAUAUAUAUAUAUAUAUAUAUAUAUAUUCCCACUCUCUUGAGCACACGCAUAGAUGAUAUUCUCGUGUGCGUGUAAUAUAUGUAUGUUUUGAAGAUAUUAUCCCUUUUAUUUAAAUGAAACCCCCAUCACCAUGGCAUAGAUUUUGAGUACGAUUUUGUUGAGGCUUCAGAGAGCAAAGGUUUUUAUCAAAUUCUUCUAUUUCUUUCAUUCUUCUGUUUGUGUGAUGUUUUUUAGCUUUUCUUUUCAUGCAUUUAUUUUAUCAAUAUGGUUAUUGAUUCUUGGGUAAUUUGCGGGUUAAUCAAGGGGUUUUUGAUCAAGAAACCAUUAUCAUCAAAAGUAAGUUUUAUCUGCAUGUUGAUCUGUUUCCUUCUUUUCUUGAGUAUAAUUAUUUUAUUUUCUAUUUUAUUAAUCAAUUUAAUUUGUCAUUUGGAAUAAAGAAUCAUAUAUUUUUUUUCUUUGUUUUUGUUCAAAAAUUAUGUCCCACAGCACGAUUAUCUUUGAUGUUUGAAAAGAUCUAUUAUUUGCACCAUUCAUUUCUUGAUAAAAGUCUCCAGUGAAUAGUUUCUUUAUUCUGCUGUAUUUCAUUCCAUGAUUAAAAUUAUUUCAGUAUGGAAAUAGUUUUUUUUUUUUUUUUAAUUUAUUUGCGUUAAGAAAUGUAAUAAUUUUCGAAGGAAUUUAUUGAUUUUGAUGCAGUUAGAGGCUUUGGGUGAAUUUUGAAGGGUCUGAAGUGUUGAGAUAAUGUUAAGGCCAACGAUCAGAUCGAACCUCAAAGAUCAACACAGGGAUCACUUGAUUUCUGAUGCUAGUUCAGAGUCGAAAGUUCACUCUGUUAUUUUUGGUCAAAAACAUAAAAAUAGUCCAUAUUUUAACGUCCCUGGGGUAUUUGUGGGGUUCGAUCCUAAGAGUUCAGAAUCUGAUUCAGAGAGAAGCCCUACUUCCCCAUUAGAUUAUCAGGUUUUCUCUAAUAUGGGCAAUCCGCUUAAGCCCCGAAUAUCAUCAAAUGAGGUGCAUCAAAAGAGCUGGGAUUGUAGCAAAGUCGGUCUAAGUAUUAUAAAUUCUCUUUACAAUGAAAAUAAAUACUCAGGGAAGGUUAACCGGUCAUCUGAUAGUAAAAAUAUUCUUUUUGGACCAAAAAUGAGGAUCGCAAAAGCAAAUUUUCCAGGUUGCAUCGAUUCUCUUGAAGUUCCAAGAUCAUUGCCAAAAAAUGUUGCCAUUUUUCCAAAUGACAUGGCAAAACCACCCAAUCACAUAAAGGACAAUUCUGAUGUCUUGUUCGAAAUUGGAGGAGCCACAUUUGAGCCAGAGCAGUUUGAGAAAAAUCUUCACUCCUGUUCGUUAGAUUCCGGAAGGUCUUGGUCGCAUUUAACCAAUUUUGGAAACUGUAAGCCCAAACCGUUGUCUGGUAACUUGAAUUCCAAGAAUGCAAUAAGCCACAUGUUUUCAGAAUCAAAGUUAGGCGAUUCAUCUGAAUGGAAGCUGAGUUCAAUUCCGGCAUCAAUUAGCUGUGGAACUGGUUUUAUUGGUUCUGUUCCGGCAAGGGAGGUUGAGCUUUCUGAGGAUUAUACCUGUGUGAGAACACAUGGCCCUAACCCCAAAGUUACUCAUAUCUUUGGUGACUGCAUUUUAGAAUGUCAUGACAAAUUAUCCAACGUUUUCAAGGAAAAUGUAGAGGAAAUUGCAUUGCCUCAGGUGGCAGAAUGCUCUGACGUUUUUUCUUCUUAUCCCUCCAGCGAUUUCUU